This 484-nucleotide ribosomal RNA is filed under the name uncultured bacterium. RNAcentral describes it as "partial 16S ribosomal RNA". It matches the Rfam family "Bacterial small subunit ribosomal RNA", at positions 30 to 507 of the family's 1533-position model. The record is from RNAcentral.
AUUGAACGCUGGCGGUAUGCUUUACACAUGCAAGUCGAACGGCAGCACGGUCUUCGGCCUCGUUGCCAGUGGCGAACGGGCGAGUAAUAUAUCGGAACGUACCCAUCUGCUGGGGCUAACGUAGUGACAGUUGCGCUCAUACCCCAUUAGCUCUAUGGAUGUAAGCAGGGGACCGCAAGGCCUUGUGCCCCUGGACCAGUCGAUAACUGAUUAGCUAGUUGGUGAGGUAAAGGCCCAACAAGGCGACGAUCAGUAGCUGGUCUGAGAGGAUGAACAGCCACACUGGAACUGAGACACGGUCCAGGCUCCUACGGGAGGCAGCAGGGGGGAAUUUUGGACAAUGGGCGCAAGCCUGAUCCAGCAAAGCCGCGUGAGUGAAGAAGGCCUUCGGGUUGUAAAGCUCUUUUGGCAGGGAAGAAACGGUAGAGGCUAAUAUCCUUGGCCAAUGAAGGUACCUGAAGAAUAAGCACCGGCUAACUACGUG